CGCCUGUUUAACAAAAACAUGUCCUUUUGAUUAAAUAUAAGGUCUAACCUGCCCACUGAUAAUUAAAUGGCCGCAGUAUUUUAACUGUGCAAAGGUAGCAUAAUCAUUAGUCUUUUAAUUGAAGGCUGGAAUGAAUGGUUGGACGAGAUAUUGACUGUUUCAUUUUAACUUGUGUUAGAAUUUUAUUUUUCAGUAAAAAAGCUGAAAUAAAUUUUAAAGACGAGAAGACCCUAUAAAUCUUUAUAAUUAAGUUGUUACGGUUUUUUGGAUAUUUUGUGCUGUGAUGGUAAGUAUUAUUUUGUUGGGGUGACAUUAAAAUUUAUGGAACUUUUAAUUUUUGGUUACAUUAAUUAAUGAUUUUUUGAUCCGUUAGUAGCGAUUAUAAAAUUAAGUUACUUUAGGGAUAACAGCGUAAUUUUUUUGGAGAGUUCUUAUCGAUAAAAGGGAUUGCGACCUCGAUGUUGGAUUAAGAGAUAGAUUUGGGUGUAGCAGCUUGAGAUCUAAGUCUGUUCGACUUUUAAAAUCUUACAUGAUCUGAGUUCAAACCGG
Molecule: ribosomal RNA, 549 nt
Filed under: Gasterophilus nigricornis
Lineage: Eukaryota; Metazoa; Arthropoda; Insecta; Diptera; Oestridae
Description: partial 16S ribosomal RNA
Rfam family: Bacterial large subunit ribosomal RNA
Source: RNAcentral